AGUGAACGCUGGCGGCGUGCUUAACACAUGCAAGUCGAACGAGAACGGGAUAUAGCUUGCUAUAUUUGUCAGCUAAGUGGCGCACGGGUGAGUAAUGUAUAGGUAAUAUGCCUCUUACUAAGGGAUAACAAUUGGAAACGAUUGCUAAUACCUUAUAUGCCUUUAAGACUAAAGCCUGCAGGGGAAAGAUUUAUUGGUAAGAGAUUAGCCUGUAUUGUAUCAGCUAGUUGGUGAGGUAAUGGCUCACCAAGGCUAUGACGCAUAACUGGUUUGAGAGGAUGAUCAGUCACACUGGAACUGAGACACGGUCCAGACUCCUACGGGAGGCAGCAGUGGGGAAUAUUGCACAAUGGACGAAAGUCUGAUGCAGCAACGCCGCGUGGAGGAUGACACAUUUCGGUGCGUAAACUCCUUUUAUAUAGGAAGAUAAUAACGGUACUAUAUGAAUAAGAGGUUGCAAACUCUGUGCCAGCCGCCGCCGUAA
This 484-nucleotide ribosomal RNA is filed under the name uncultured bacterium. Its description in RNAcentral is "partial 16S ribosomal RNA". It matches the Rfam family "Bacterial small subunit ribosomal RNA", at positions 29 to 523 of the family's 1533-position model. The record is from RNAcentral.